CCCUUAGAUGUUCUGGGCCGCACGCGCGCUACACUGAUGCAUUCAACGAGUUUUUCCUGGUCCGAGAGGAAUGGGUAACCUUUUGAAAGUGCAUCGUGCUAGGGAUAGACUAUUGCAAUUAUUGGUCUUCAACGAGGAAUUCCUAGUAAGCGCAAGUCAUCAGCUUGCGUUGAUUACGUCCCUGCCCUUUGUACACACCGCCCGUCGCUACUACCGAUUGAAUGGCUUAGUGAGGCUUCCGGAUUGGUUUAGAGAAGGGGGCAACUCCAUCUUGGAACCGAGAAGCUAGUCAAACUUGGUCAUUUAGAGGAAGUAAAAGUCGUAACA
Molecule: ribosomal RNA, 327 nt
Filed under: uncultured eukaryote
Lineage: Eukaryota
Description: partial 18S ribosomal RNA
Rfam family: Eukaryotic small subunit ribosomal RNA
Source: RNAcentral